Molecule: long non-coding RNA, 3387 nt
Organism: Quercus robur (English oak)
Lineage: Eukaryota; Viridiplantae; Streptophyta; Magnoliopsida; Fagales; Fagaceae
Exons: 2
Source: RefSeq, a predicted model, not a curated record
CAUUAAAAGUAGACGCUAUAUAUUUAAACUUUAACUCUUAAAAAAUAAAAAAGUAUUGUAUUGAUAUCAAUACAAUCGCACUGUUAAUUUUAAUUUGGAUUUUAAGGUACAAUAAACUAAAAUGUUCUUAUUUAAAAGAACUCCUGUCUCUUCCUAACCAAACCUCAGGAUUGAGUAGAGGUAAGAAUGUUAGAUGAUAGAAAUUCCCUUUGAACGACACAUUCUCACACAAAUGUAGUAACUACACCCACCUAACUCAACUUCCUUUAGCCAAAUGGUACGUUUUGAUGAAACACACAUUUAAUUCUAGUAAUUGAAUGAAAGCUCUGCCAUUGCCAUGUUUUAAAUGACUACUGAAAGCGGGUGAUCUCAGAAAGCCAGUUAGAACAGAACUAAGUUGAUAGGUAUGAACCUAUAGGUUUAAUAUCUCUUGGUUUUUGGACCCAUGCAGUGUCACAUCUAACACUCUCAACCCUACAAAUUAUUCAUCUUUUUUUUUUUCUUUUUCUCUCACUUCCAUUAGAUGAGGUGCAGAAGUUGGACGGUAUAAGGCGUAUCUCUUCUGAGCAAACUCAAACCUCAUUAAUACUUAGGAUUCCCAUGUGCCAUUGCCAAUAGUGUGUAAAUUUCUUUAUAAAACUACCACUGUAGGUUCACUGAUUGCUUCAAACCCAAUUCGUCCAUUCCCUGCCAAGAGGGUAUUCAGUUCAAUAGGCUUCUUCCCCUCUACCUAUUUGACUAUUUCUACAGAGUCUCUCUUUGGGACAAUGCUUGUUUUUUUGUGAAAAAUAAAGGGGGAGGGCUUGAUUUCUUUAUCUCACUAGGGAAUGUUGCCUUUCUCUUUUGGGAAAUUUCCUAUCUGUUUCCCUCUUUGAGUAUAUGAUAGUUUGGGUUCUAUUUGAUUGGUUGGGUUAAUUGUUGGGUGUCUGUCUUUUUCUUGGGAACAAAAGAUUGAUUCUUUUGUAGCUUCAUGCAUUGAUGGGUGAGUAAGGCUGCUCUAUAAUUUGGACCUAUGUUGUCAUGGUAUUUUUCAUCUAAAGUCUUGCAUGUGGGAAUGAGUUUAUGUAACGCAGCCAAGGAUGACUUGCCGGCAAAAUUAAGGCACUAUAUUACAUAUAAUCAUGAAUCUAUAACCGAGUUUAUAUUAAAAUUAUCAUAUACAUAUUAUUUAUCAUACACAUUCUUGACUGAAUUGAUCGGCAAGUCGUCACUGGCUACAAAACUGCCUCCUUUUCUCAUGCUAGAUUUGUGAUGAUAAUCUCAGUGGUGGUGGUGGUGGUGGUGGUGACAGAUGAUAAUUACCAUUGGUACUUAUUUUUGGUGGUGGUGGUGACUUGCAUAUGAGGUUUUUCGUCCUUUACAUUGAGUUCAUUCUUUUCCUCUAACCAUUGCAGAUUUUGCAGAUGAAACCAUAGCCUUUUGCAUUUGUUGUCAUUUUCAGGUUGCAGCAUCCUCUACAUCUCAGCUUCAAGCUGCUCAAUAGUGCUUGAUAUAAAAAACUUCUUAUCUCUAUCUAGGUUAUUUUUUAAAUUUCACAACUUAUUUAUAUUAGUUAAUUAUAAUAAAAUAUCCUUUAGGAUAGACACAUGACACUAGAUGUGAUCUAAUUCGUUUUAGGAGAGAAACAAGAUACGCAGUACAAGUUUUUAUUUUUAUUUAUUUGUAUUGAUGAAAUUUGUGAAUAGAUUUAAACCAUACAUAUCAAGCUAUUUAUAUACUUUUAAAUUUCAAAGUUAUGACACUAUGCUUUGGUGAAAGUAGUCUUCUUUGCUAUAACUCAGCUCAAUCUAACAGUUCUUUAAUGUGGAUAAGAUCAUAUGCACCAUCAAUCAUCUUUUAACAACCAUUUUCCCCUCAACUGAUUCUCUAUAUAUUUUGGUGCCCCUUUUCGAUACAACUUGGAAACGGUGGGCCUUGGGGGAUAUUUUCUUCUAUACGAAUGUAUGGUUGUAACUUGUAAAUAUACAAAUAUUAUUUAGCAAAAAAAAAAAAAAAAAAAAAAAAAAAAACUAAUAUUGAGCAUAAUUGCAGCAUCACAGAACAAUUUUAGGACAAACUAUCACAUUCUUUUCUCAGCAUUCACAGGAAUUAAAGUGUUAGUUGCACGUGUUAAUAUAUGUGUAAGCAGUGAUGGAAAUGGGGUUGAUCACCAUAAUAGCAAGGUGAACCCUCAUACACUGAACAGACGCAAUUGCUCAAAUAGUCAAUGUUUGUUAGGACACUAACGAAGGUGUACGUGUUGAAGAGGAAGGAAUUUCAUUCCAACAAUUAGUCAAGUGAGAUACCCUCACGGAAGACAUCAAUCAACUAAUGGUGGUUUUCAUUCCCGGCAUAUGUUUUUAUUUUUGGUUUUGUUUUGGGGGGGUGUUGGGACCUUGGCUUAGCAUUUUGCCAAGAUGAAUUUGCUAUCCAAUGUUACUGUCCGAACAUAUAGUUGUAUUGAGUUUAAUUGUUCUUAAAAAAAAACACCAUAUAUGCUUUAUUGGUUUCAUGCAACCACAUGUUUGAAUUUAUUUGGAAAACCUAAAUUACACACUAUAUAUUAUAUGUAAUCAUGAAUUUAUCACUGAGUUUGUAUUAAACUUAUUGUAUAAACUAUAAAUAUUAUUUAUCAUACAUGUUCAUGACUAAGUUGAUAGGCAAGUCAUCACUAGCUACAAAAGUGACUCCUUUCUCAUGGUAGAUUUGUGAUGAUAAUCAAGGAUUGUUUACGGGUUGGUUCGGGUCGGGUUUGUGCUCAAUCUAGAAUCGACCCGAUCACUUUGAGUCUCCCAUAUCUGGACUAGCCGUUGACCGGUAAAAGGAGUUAGUUCGGGUGGUUAGAUCUCCUCAGGUACAGGUAGGUCCUCGAUUGGAGUCGGAAUGUGUGAAACUAAGCCGAAUUUUGAUGAAAUCUGUCAGAUUUGGCAAGAUCUCAUUGGAUUUUGACUAAUCGGACAAAAUUGACCGGCAAAACACUCCUAUUGGUGGAAAAUGGCUACUUUCCAGUGUAUAUAUGGUUGGGUCAGUUGAAAAUAAGUUUUUCAUGCUCAAACCCACCAACCGACCCAUCGAUCUUGAGUUGUAGGGGUGGAGACUUGCUGCUGAUUGUCAUUGGCAUUGGGUCGUUCUCAAAUUGGAUUGGUUGGGUGGGUUGGAUGGCAAGUUUGGUUGGACACCCCUAAUGAUAAUCUCAAUAAUGAUGGUGGUGGUGACAACGAUGAUGAUAAGUACUUAUUCUUGGUGAUGACGAUGUUAAUAAUCUCAGAUUUUGCAUUUGAGGGUUUUCGUCUAUUAUAUAAAUGAUUUAAUUUGUUUUUGGAGGUAUGUGUUAAACUGUGUAAAACAGUUUGUGUAAAAAGUUUAACCUUUCACAUAAAGUUAUCUUAUUUGAGUUUCUCUUGCUCA